Molecule: ribosomal RNA, 239 nt
Filed under: uncultured bacterium
Lineage: Bacteria
Description: partial 16S ribosomal RNA
Rfam family: Bacterial small subunit ribosomal RNA
Source: RNAcentral
GAUCCUGGCUCAGGAUGAACGCUAGCUACAGGCUUAACACAUGCAAGUCGAGGGGCAGCAUGGUCUUAGCUUGCUAAGGCCGAUGGCGACCGGCGCACGGGUGAGUAACGCGUAUCCAACCUGCCUUACACUCUUGGGACAGCCUUCUGAAAGGGAGAUUAAUACAAAAUGUUAUCAUGAGUAAGCAUUUUCGCAUGAUUAAAGGUUUACCGGUGUAAGAUGGGGAUGCGUUCCAUUAG